This 403-nucleotide ribosomal RNA is filed under the name uncultured bacterium. RNAcentral's name for it is "partial 16S ribosomal RNA". It matches the Rfam family "Bacterial small subunit ribosomal RNA", at positions 30 to 526 of the family's 1533-position model. The record is from RNAcentral.
AUUGAACGCUGGCGGCAGGCCCAACACAUGCAAGUCGAGCGAGCGGCGGACGGGUGAGGAAUGUAUGGGGACUGCCCGAUAGAGGGGGAUAACUACUGGAAACGGUGGCUAAUACCGCAUACUAUAGGAUAACCCAUAUGGGAUUAGCUAGUAGGUGGGGUAAAGGCUCACCUAGGCGACGAUCUCUAGCUGGUCUGAGAGGAUGAUCAGCCACACUGGGACGUAGACACGGCCCAGACUCCUACGGAGGCAGCAUUGUGGAAUAUUGCACCAUGGGCUCAAGCCUGAUGCAGCCAUGCAGCGUGUAUGAAGAAGGCCUUAUGGUUGUAAAGUACUUUCAGCGUGGAGGCGUUACCCGCAGAAGAAGCACCGGCUAACUCCGUGCCAGCAGCCGCGGUAAUUC